UAAGAAAACAUAUAAGACAUUAAUAAUCUGCUAGCAAUGGGAAGACAACCAUAACAACAAUGAACUGAAUUAAUCAGUGCACACGACUAGUUAAAAACAAACAUCCUUUGACAAGAAGUUUCUAAUUAAAUCAUGGCUGUGUCUGGGCAGCAUUAUUAUGAGAGUGAAGGUGGAUGUGCUGCUACUUCCCACUCCCCUUGAUGAGCAACAAGCACCUGCAUUGAGUAAUGCAAGAGUGAGAUGAAACAUCUCAGCAAGCUAAUUGUUCUGACGAGAUAUUUAAACCACAAAUUGAAUUCAUCAACAUUUUAAAAGAGUCACAAUAAAAAAAAACAGAAAUACUUGUAGAUAUAGAACUCAGUAGUCCCACUAUAACCAAUACCAUCUCAUUUCCUCGAACAACCACAAUAGGUUCUAUAACACUUCCCUGCGUCAACAAUACCUGCAAAUAUCACUUCAAUGUAUGCAUAGGAAUGCAAUGUGUAGGUACUCUAUCUUCAUACCUCUGGGGGUAUAAAACCACAUCAUCUGCAAAUAUCACUUCAAUGAAUGCAUAUGAAUGCAAUGCAUAUGUCCUCUGCCUUCAUACCUCUAAGGGUAUGAAGCCGCAUCGUACCCCUUCUCGGGCAACGUACGAUGCUAAGUUGUACCGGUACGGUCGGACCAUAGGUCACGACAAAACUUCAUAUGCAAAUGAGUCAUGCAAUGUAUAUGGCAUGCUACAUUUAUCAAUAAACUUCACUUCCUUCAGAUACAACACAAACCUCAAAUAAUACUUCAUUUACCUUCAGAUACAAUACCAACCUCAAAUAAUACUUCAUUUACCUUCAGAUAUGUGAAUUAAUCUCGUGAGUCAUACUCAAAUCAUAAUCAUCAUCAAUAUAUGAUUGAGCAUCAGUAUAAUGCAAGCAAGUAAAGCAUCACUAUAGAGUCCAAUUAUGAAAGAAUCUGAUACUUCUGAAUAUUAGAGUGUAGGCAAUAGGAAUAACAGGUCAGAACGGAAGCAACCACCGCUGCAUUCACUUGCCUUCAUCGAAGAAGAAGAAAUGUACUAGACAUGAUCUGGAGUGUAGCCACCUAGGGUUUCCCCAAGAAAUCUUCAAGAAGAGAUGGGGAAGAACAUCUCCUUGAUCCUCUCUUCCUCUUCAAUUCAACGUGCCCCUCCUUUUCUCGAUCCUUGCUGCGUAGGGGAAGAUCUUGGGGAAGGAAGCAAUGGAUGAUGGCUGCCAUAGGGGGAGGGGGCGUCCAGCCAAGGGGGAGAAAAGGGGGUGGCGGCCAAGAGGGGGUGAAGGGAAAAAAAAGGGUUGGCCACCUAGGGUUUUUGUGGGAGAAAGAAACGACGCCUCAGAUGACUUCUAUCUUUGCAUCCAAUGGCCCACAACCCUUUACCUCAUCCACACACCAGAGAUUAACUUUUGGUCAACAUUUUUUUGGGAUAUUACACUCUACCCCCCUUAAAAAGAAUUCGACCUCGAAUUCGGCCACUCCAAGAAAAACACCCAAGGUACCCCAUAUAGCACCACAAUUCAAAACAUGGAUCCAUUAUUGGUCUUAAUUAACACAAGAACUUCUACCUUGGACUAAUUGUCUAAGGAAACUACACGACCUGACAUCAAGCAUGAAACAACAUGUAAUGAAGCUCAAAGCAUGUCAUAGUUGCAAUCAACACUACAAUUUCACACCAUCAAAUUUGGAUGCAGCUAUACAUCAACAUCAAUGUCUUAAGACAACACUCUUUUAUGAAGGGGUAAUAUGGACCAAGCACAACCCUUACCAACUUCAACCAUUAAUUUUAAUUAAAUGGUGAAACAUCUACACCCGACGAAUGUAUAAGAAGAUCAAACACCUCACCUUAAAGCACCAUGAAACAAGUAGUUCUAUUGGAACAAAACUCCUAAUCUUCCUAAACCUUAUUCUUGCCAUCAUGAAAAGAUAAUCAUGUAAUCUAACAUUCCUUGCACCCCACCAAAAGGGAGAAAAUCUAUAGAACUAAUGGAGCAAUAAAGCCAAAAGAAGCCAAUAACAUCUUGUGCGGCAUAGUUCAUCGAAGAAAUGCCAAAAAAACUCUACAUAGAGCACUGAUAGCCCAACAACAACACAAUACUUGCUUAACCCAUGUCACUAUACUUCAUUCAACAUCUCAACUAAGAAAAAUAUCCAACUAGUAAGGAUAACCUACACAUAAUAUAAGUCUUCAUCUACUGUAGUUCAGAAACUUACAUUUCAUUCUAUCAUACGAUGCACUCAAAGUACCAGACAUACAAAGUCAAUAAUAAUAACCCCUAAUCCUUCACACAUUUGACAAACAUAUUAAGCUGAUGUAAACACCACAUCAUCUAGGAGUAGGUGACUAGCCACACCCAACCAACUCUAGGCUAGGCAAGGACUUCCUUCAAACCAAUAGAUAGGUGGUCUAAAAAAAUGGCUCCACAAGCAUGCAUCGAAAAGGGAACCAUCAGAUCCCCAAUGUAUCAAUACAUAAUCAAUGGAUCAAGAGAAUCAAAGAUUUAUUCUACAAUUAGUAUGACUAACAGGCAACCACUUUAAACCACAUCUAGGCUUUGUGGCAACUAGAACACACAAUAUGAGAGAGACAUGUAAGCCAUUCUGGCUAUGAAAAGACUUCCCCCAAAAAUCCAUAUAAAGUACCAAUAUUCAUUUCUUUCAAAACUGGUUUCUCAACAUAAACAAUCAUUCUUUGCAAUGAUAGUUGGAGCUAUCCACCAACCGCUCAACAACUUAAAUUCAAAUUGAUGAUUACCUUGUACCCCAAAACACGCAAUUCACACUCCUCUUAGAAACAUCCACAAUCAAGCAUAUAUAACAAUAUUAUUGUAAUAAAACUCAACCAUGAAAAACAUGGUGAAAACAACAUAGGCAUACUUGUAUAUCACAAGCAUAAUAACAACUUCAUUCUCACCAAUGACCAGCGAUAUCUACCGCAUUAAUAAAACAAUAUCAAAAUUUCAUAAAUAAAUUAUAUCAAGCAUUAAGCCAUAAACAACUUACCACAUCACCGUAAAGGAAUAGGGAGGGGUGAAACUAUUGUCAUCUGCACUCCAAAGACAUUAAUAUAUAUCAAAGAUAUUUGAACCCAUACCCUUCCUAUAUGUGCAAGUGUGUCAAAUUUAUCUUCAAAUUGCCAAGAAUCUAAAGCCUAUGCUUUGAUACCAACUGUAACACCCCGGGAUCCACAAACACCCCAGGAUGCUACUAAACUACACAUCUAACAUUCAUAUAUAAAAUUUCGACAGCAUCUCCUUUGAAAAUUGCAUAAACGGGGGAAGCAACAAAGUAUAAAUAGAUAUCAUGAUAAGAAAACAUAUAAGACAUUAAUAAUCUGCUAGCAAUGGGAAGACAACCAUAACAACAAUGAACUGAAUUAAUCAGUGCACACGACUAGUUAAAAACAAACAUCCUUUGACAAGAAGUUUCUAAUUAAAUCAUGGCUGUGUCUGGGCAGCAUUAUUAUGAGAGUGAAGGUGGAUGUGCUGCUACUUCCCACUCCCCUUGAUGAGCAACAAGC
RNAcentral lists this long non-coding RNA (3526 nucleotides) under Zea mays. Its description in RNAcentral is "long non-coding RNA (ZMAY_LNC002715)". Lineage: Eukaryota; Viridiplantae; Streptophyta; Magnoliopsida; Poales; Poaceae. The record is from RNAcentral.